RNAcentral lists this ribosomal RNA (446 nucleotides) under uncultured bacterium. Its description in RNAcentral is "partial 16S ribosomal RNA". It matches the Rfam family "Bacterial small subunit ribosomal RNA", at positions 338 to 795 of the family's 1533-position model. The record is from RNAcentral.
CCUACGGGAGGCAGCAGUCGAGAAUCAUUCACAAUGGGGGAAACCCUGAUGGUGCGACGCCGCGUGGGGGAAUGAAGGUCUUCGGAUUGUAAACCCCUGUCAUGUGGGAGCAAAUUAAAAAGAUAGUACCACAAGAGGAAGAGACGGCUAACUCUGUGCCAGCAGCCGCGGUAAUACAGAGGUCUCAAGCGUUGUUCGGAAUCACUGGGCGUAAGGCGUGCGGAGGCUGUUUCGUAAGCCGUGUGUGAAAGGCGCGGGCUCAACCCGCGGACGGAACAUGAUACUGCGAGACUAGAGUAAUGGAGGGGGAACCGGAAUUCUCGGUGUAGCAGUGAAAUGCGUAGAUAUCGAGAGGAACACUCGUGGCGAAGGCGGGUUCCUGGACAUUAACUGACGCUGAGGCACGAAGGCCAGGGGAGCGAAAGGGAUUAGAUACCCCAGUAGUC